AGUGAACGCUGGCGGUAGGCCUAACACAUGCAAGUCGAACGGCAGCACAGUAAGAGCUUGCUCUUACGGGUGGCGAGUGGCGGACGGGUGAGGAAUACAUCGGCAUCUACUUUUUCGUGGGGGAUAACGUAGGGAAACUUACGCUAAUACCGCAUACGACCUACGGGUGAAAGCAGGGGAUCUUCGGACCUUGCGCGAUUGAAUGAGCCGAUGUCGGAUUAGCUAGUUGGCGGGGUAAAGGCCCCCCAAGGCGACGAUCCGUAGCUGGUCUGAGAGGAUGAUCAGCCACACUGGAACUGAGACACGGUCCAGACUCCUACGGGAGGCAGCAGUGGGGAAUAUUGGACAAUGGGCGCAAGCCUGAUCCAGCCAUACCGCGUGGGUGAAGAAGGCCUUCGGGUUGUAAAGCCCUUUUGUUGGGAAAGAAAAGCAGCAGGUUAAUACCCCGCUGUUCUGACGGUACCCAAAGAAUAAGCACCGGCUAACUUCGUG
This 492-nucleotide ribosomal RNA is filed under the name uncultured bacterium. Its description in RNAcentral is "partial 16S ribosomal RNA". It matches the Rfam family "Bacterial small subunit ribosomal RNA", at positions 29 to 507 of the family's 1533-position model. The record is from RNAcentral.